Molecule: long non-coding RNA, 549 nt
Organism: Piliocolobus tephrosceles (Ugandan red Colobus)
Lineage: Eukaryota; Metazoa; Chordata; Mammalia; Primates; Cercopithecidae
Exons: 3
Source: RefSeq, a predicted model, not a curated record
AAGCAAACAUCCACUCAGAAAACAUGAUGUCACCAAGGAUGGUUGGAUUACCCUGCAGGGCACUGGCAGCAAAGACGCCCUCCCAUCUCCAGCUCAGCCUCCCUCCAGAGAGGACUCGUAGAACACUCAUUUCCAAACAGGAGCCACGACACUUCCGAAACAAGCUGGAACCACAGCUAGUUCAGGAAGCUUCCCUCUAGUCCAGCCCAACCCAGGGUCUUUCACAUGGACCUGAAGGAAGGUGAAAGAGACAAGGUCUUGCUGUGUUGCCCACACUGGUCUCAAACUCCUGGGCUCAAGUGAUCCUCCUGCCUCUGCCUCCCAAAGCACCGGGAUUACAGAUGAGAACUACUGCACCUGGCUAAGAAUAGUCACUCUUCUUGUUAAUAUUCUUUCUCCUUUUCCUCUUUCACUCCUUUCCUUUAGCUUUGAUUUCUUCUUCACUUUGGAUGUUCCUCUUUCCCCUUUCUUCCUUCCUUCUGCUUCCUCUUCCUUGCCCUCUCUCCCCUUAAGCUAAUUACUUUUAACCUUUAUUUAUCCAUUAUUAAA